Long non-coding RNA from Oncorhynchus gorbuscha (pink salmon), 3510 nucleotides. RefSeq lists it as uncharacterized. The record is from RefSeq and is a predicted model, not a curated record. The transcript is spliced from 4 exons. NCBI's taxonomy places the organism in Eukaryota, Metazoa, Chordata, Actinopteri, Salmoniformes, Salmonidae.
GGCCAAGAGAAGAGAAUCACCUAGUGCUCUUGAGCUUGAAAAGCUGAAUGCUAAAGUUGUGAAGAUGGAGAUGACUGUAAUUGUCCUCUAAACACCAAGAAGAGUUACUGAGGAUGACCACGCUCCUGAACCACAAGGAGGACGCUCUGAGGACGCUGAAGGAGACUCUGAGAAGAUCACAGCAGGAGGGAGAACAGUUAUGUAAGUCUGCCCCAGACAAUAUUAAGAAUAGAAUUUGAAAUGACCACAAAACAACAGGUGAAUAGUUAUGAGCCCUAAUUGAGAUGUUUGUUCUUGCUGUCAUGGGGGGAGAGGAUCUGCAUGCCAGACUGACAACCACCAGAGGACGUACUGUCCAAAGCAACAUUCUCCUUGAAAAGAACAAACUUGAGGAAGUGAAACGGCUACAAAAAAAUCAUUUCUGAAUUGCAGUGUUUCCACUCAGCAAGGAGAUAUUUCCAAGUGGAAGGCUAGAGCAGUUAAGCUGAAGGAGAGGAGGGACGUGGUUGAAACACCUCCAUCUGCAUGUACUCAUACAAAACGACGCCUUCCCAUGACUUCUGAGGAGUUUUUUGAUAACUCCAACCUUGGAACCGUUCAAGAUGCAACUGUGGAUUAAAAAGGAGGAAUGGUGGCCUGUCACCAAAGCAAGCUGAUCUAUGCAAACAGCAGUAAAUGAUUUACCUAAAUUGCACUAAUCAUUCAUUGUUUAUCUAUUUUUCAAUAUUCAAAGUGUUUGUUUUCGAUAGCCUUAUAUUUUAAAAUAAACUGCUCUUUAUUUUAAAAUAUAAGACUCAUCUUUACCUGCUCUCUCUGUAAUAGCACUUUCAGAUGUUCUGACAGCAGAUGGCAUGCUUACACCAUUUUGUUUGAGAAUGUUUUAUUUUGACAACGAUGGAGGAUUUUAAACUUGGUGUCUAUGCAAAGUGGUCUUGAUGUUCAGUUUCUUCCAUUACUAAUUUUCAGACUAAUGCUUUUACAUUUUUAACCGUAGAUUGCAGUUUUUGAGGAUAUUGUACAUUCAUGGCUCCUCAUUGGAGUUAAAUUACAUUUUUGAAGAUGGAACAAUUGGGUAAUUAAGCUAUAUGGCAGAAUUAAACUCAGAAUUAUUCUAAAUAACUGUAUUUGCCUGUAUGUUGUGCAGGUAAACAGGAGGCCUGACCACUUAGACUUGGGUCUCAGUAGCUGCCCCACGGCUACAUUCUCUUGGUCGUUUCCUCUGCAUUGCUUCACAUUUCAUUUAAGUGGGUGCAGUAACCACAUUCUUCCUGUUCUCUCUGUUGGGAUUACUGUAAGAAGGGUACUGAGCCUUCAGAAGGAGAACUGGCACCGUGGUAAAUAACCUUUAGAGUUCUGUAGCACAUCAUCAAAGGUAAUUUGAUCACAGGUUCCCAAAUGGAAGGGAAUUAAGUGAUGUUUUCUGACUGCCUGGCAAAGUAAAAAAGACAGAUCUUAAGAUACACGGAAUGCAUUACUUAAUUUGUUCUCCAAGACAUUCCAGUGACUGAGCCCUGCAUACUUAUCAUGCAGUAGUUUUCUGUAACCUAAUGACUGCACCAGCUAAAAAGACACGACCGAUUGGGUUUGAAAGUGCCACAAGACUGGUAGACUUCUGAGCUGAAGUCUCUGCAUUACCUUUGAGAGUUAACAGGUUCAGGCAAGAUUAUUCAGUACACAUGUGCUCCAAAAGUUAUUUUCAUUAAACAUUGUGAUGCCAUCGAGGCUGAAAUACUUUAUUUACCAAAACCUCUAGCCGGAGAGGAGUAGUGGUUUUCAUUAUUUCACAAAUAUCAACAUACAGUAACUCUCAAAUCUGGAAAUGGAAGAGCUGAAGUCUGCACUCAGAUUAUAAACAAAAUGCACUUUUCCCAAGCUUCUCUUGUACACCUAACUCAUUAAUAGUAUUAUCAAGAUGUGGUAUCUUUUGAUACUUUUGUUCCAAGGAUAUCACAAUAUUGAUGGUAAAUAGGUUUGCCAGUUUUCUACAGGUUUUUUCUUAUGUAGGCAAUACAAGAAGAAGACGGAACACAAUUGGUCAGAAAAAGAACAAAGUCCUUGUGAAGAAGUUCAAGAAUAAAGGGAGACCUUCUUAAAAGGGAAUUACAGUCUCAAUACUGAACCAGACAUUCCUCAAGCACAAGUUGUCAGAGUAGCCCUCAUUGCAAUUAAAGUAAGCAAAAGUGUCAAAGUUUGAACCUCUCCCGGCAGCCCACCUAAUUGCUAAGGUGGCUUGUUUCAUCUAAUAGUAUUAUUUGUAUAUUUCCAUAAUGUGUUACAGUGGGAAUCAUCCAGGACAGGUCUUUCCCUUGUUCAAUUAUUCAGGGCUCAGUCACAGACAGUCAUUAAAGUUUCAUGGGAGGCAAUUUGGAGGCAGUGCUGGUUGCUUUAGAAAACAAAAAGCCCUCUCUGCCUUUGGAAGUGCAUGUUGUGAACUUGUGAUGGAGGUAAAAUGAAAUUCAUCAUUACAUUUGUGGACUAUUAUUGACCCAGAAACUAAAAGGUGAAAUUGUAUGGUGACCAAAUGUAUUUGAUUAGGUAUGUCACUCAAAGUUCUUCUCAAAGAUAGCAAGUUUACGUUAUCUAUAAGGCUAACUCAUUUGCUGUAUGAGACUGAGGAACACAUCCACAAUAGUCAGGAGUUCUCAAGACAACAUUUAAUACUGAUGCACACAAAUAGAUGCCCCAAAAAGUUUGUCUCCUUAUAAUUGUCAGAUUUAGAAAUGUAUUCUUGCCAGUGCUUAAAAACUAAGAGGUAACAUGCACACUUAGAAAUAACACUUGUUUUGGGAAAUACUAAUAUUACAAACAUAUUACUUUGAUCAUUCUGCAUGCCUUGAAUCCUCUUAACAGCAAAAUCACAUGCCCACAUACAUAUCCUUGAGUAGAAAAUGGGUCAUGUAAUAUUUUUUUAGAGAGGUAAUUAAAACUUUGAGUGUAUGUGGCUUGACAUGGGAUAAUACAUACACAACAGCAGCUUACUGUAAUACUUUGCUGGUAAAGAUUAGGUUGGAAAAUAUCUGAAUCUCCUAAAUAAAAAUUCCAGGCAAUUUGUUUUUAGAGAUUACAAAUAUUUUACAAAUAAAGUGCAGUGCUCUAAAUUGCUGACAGAAAUCUUACCGAGAUGGGAAAGGAAGUAAAAAUGACAUUCUUUCUCAAGGACAGUUAAGUUGUUCAGUUGAAUUGCAACGGCAAUAUUCAAACAUGCACAGGCCAGGGACAGUGCAUGACAGGCAGUCCUGGGCAAGGCCAGUUUCUCUCAUGAAUUCACUGUUAAAGAUGUUUGAAAAUGUUUUGUAGGAGGACCAUCAUACUACAUUUUAUUCUCUAUUCUUCUGUUUAUUCUGUUGAAGUCUGAAUAUGUUUAUUCACAUAUACUCCUACAAUAGGUCUUGAUAUUGUUCCUUUCAGGCAUGUUUUCACGUCAGUGGCUAUUUGAAGGAUUUUAUGCUUGCUCUAUUCUUAGCGCCAACUCACACUGGUAGCAUGACUACUUGCAGUGUUUUAAUUUCC